This 513-nucleotide ribosomal RNA is filed under the name uncultured bacterium. RNAcentral's name for it is "partial 16S ribosomal RNA". It matches the Rfam family "Bacterial small subunit ribosomal RNA", at positions 28 to 523 of the family's 1533-position model. The record is from RNAcentral.
GACGAACGCUGGCGGCAUGCCUAAUACAUGCAAGUCGAGCGAACAGAUGAAGUGCUUGCACUUCUGACGUUAGCGGCGAACGGGUGAGUAACACGUAAGGAAUCUACCUAUGAGCGGGGGAUAACAUUCGGAAACGGGUGCUAAUACCGCAUAAUAUCUUCUUCCGCAUGGAAGAAGAUUGAAAGACGGCUCUGCUGUCACUUAUAGAUGACCUUGCGGUGCAUUAGUUAGUUGGUGGGGUAACGGCCUGCCAAGACGAUGAUGCAUAGCCGACCUGAGAGGGUGAUCGGACACGUUGGGACUGAGACACGGCCCAAACUCCUACGGGAGGCAGCAGUAGGGAAUCUUCCGCAAUGGGCGAAAGCCUGACGGAGCAAUGCCGCGUGAGUGAAGAAGGCCUUCGGGUCGUAAAACUCUGUUAUAAGAGAAGAACAAAUUGUAGAGUAACUGCUACAGUCUUGACGGUAUCUUAUCAGAAAGCCACGGCUAACUACGUGCCAGCCGCCGCCGUAA